Molecule: long non-coding RNA, 1677 nt
Organism: Panicum virgatum (switchgrass)
Lineage: Eukaryota; Viridiplantae; Streptophyta; Magnoliopsida; Poales; Poaceae
Exons: 4
Source: RefSeq, a predicted model, not a curated record
CUCCUCCCCAACCCCUAUUUCCUCUCCUCCCACCUAGAUUUGGUAUGCUGCCACCACCACCCCCUCCUCCUCCUCCUCCGGCGAGCACCUCGCCGGAGCAGGGCCAGAACCACUAGCACCUUACCACUCCCAGCCCUAUUCCCGCUCAGAUCCACCUAGAACUCGAAGAUGCCCGAUGCAGAUCCAUGGCCAGCGGUGGCCUUCCUUGGCGUGCUCUCCUCCCGUCGUGGCUGCAACGGUGAAGCCACUCUUCGUGCUGCUGGGCGUCCGCAGCCUCUACCUGCAGGUGAGCCUGCCCUGCCAUGGAGUCUGCUCUUCAGUUUAUUGUGCUCGCAUGGUGUUUGCCAGAUUGUCUGAGCGAGUGUUUUUCACUUGCUGUCUAUUGGGUCUAGCAGUUUUGGAGCAUAUGGAUAGUCAAACCUUGAUAAUCUUGCUUGCUAAUGAACUUACCAAGUGAUCCAAGGUCAUUUUUCAGUUACUGCAAUGUCAUAGGUGGCAUAUGAUUGGCAUUAAAACAGCACUUUUUUACACAGACAGGUAAGUUUGUUGCGUUUCUCAAAACUGUGCUAGCAAAAAAUGAUCAGGUACCUAACUAUUGCACCUAUACUCUGUAGUUAGCAGUGAGAGUAGUCUCCUACCAGUUGCUUUCAUGAUCUUAUAUUAAGUAGCUGAUCAUGAGGUUUAACUACAUAUAUUUUUGUACAUUCUCUUUUCUAAGAUGCCACAAGAAGAACUAGCCAAACACAAUAUCACACCUGCUCUUUACCAGUAGCAUUAAGAAUUGGAUUUAGGAAGACUAGCAGUAGGCUAGUACCAGUAGGAUAAAGUAGAAGUAGCAGACUACAAACUAGUAGUAGCUGGUGUCAUAUUGUGUCAUAUCUGUGCAAGCAUAAGUUCAUAUAAAGCUAGAGGUGUAUGUUGUCAAUAUCUAUAUCAUAAACUCAAUUUAGGCAAGUACUCCUUCAUCCUAUGUUUUUAAAGCGGUAAGGCGAGGCGAGGCAAUCCACCACCGCCUUAUCGCCUAGGCGGGCUAAGGCGAGACCUUAAGCAAGGCGAGCCGCCACCGCCUUGUCGCCUAGGCGACGCCUUGAAAACAGAGCCUUCAUCUAUUCUAUAGUUUGCUAAUACUGUUAUUUCUAUUUCUUUGAGGUCAAGCCACUGCGGUCAUAAAAGAUUCUAGUAGUGUCGGUGCUGCCGGCACCAAACUGAUAGAUUUGCAGGUCAGCAUGCUCUUUCUCUUUGUCAGACGUUGUAGGCAUUUUGUUGCUCUAUUGUACACUAUUUUCUAUUAAUAAAUUUAAGAUUAGGAAUGGGAAAAUGGAGGUAUCAAUUGAUUUUAGUUUCUGUCCAAGAUCUCUGAUGGAUAAUUUCAGUAGUUGAGGUUAAGUAGUUACGGUUCUUGUAGUUGAGAUUCAACAUUAUUGAUCAUUUCUACAUGCAAUGUGAUUGAACUUGUGCAUCUCAGUUAUCUCUGUCUUUUACCUAUUUUCACUUGGUAAAACAGUUUGUGGAACAUAAUUAGUUGUGAUGGCGAGCAGCGAAGGAAGUCCAGGUUUUGCGAUUUUUUUUUCUCCUCCCUUUUUCAGCUGCAUUUUUAGGAAGGUUGUAACACCUAUAGAAUUAUGUAAUGGAUAAAACAUGUGUAUCUCUUAUGUAUUUAAGGUGUAUUUUAAAUCC